UACGUAGGUGGCAAGCGUUGUCCGGAAUUAUUGGGCGUAAAGCGCGCGCAGGCGGAUAGGUCAGUCUGUCUUAAAAGUUCGGGGCUUAACCCCGUGAUGGGAUGGAAACUGCCAAUCUAGAGUAUCGGAGAGGAAAGUGGAAUUCCUAGUGUAGCGGUGAAAUGCGUAGAGAUGAGGAAGAACACCAGUGGCGAAGGCGGCUUUCUGGACUAAAACUGACGCUGAGGCGCGAAAGCCAGGGGAGCGAACGGG
This 252-nucleotide ribosomal RNA is filed under the name uncultured bacterium. Its description in RNAcentral is "partial 16S ribosomal RNA". It matches the Rfam family "Bacterial small subunit ribosomal RNA", at positions 524 to 776 of the family's 1533-position model. The record is from RNAcentral.